GCCCAGCUAACUCAGUCGGUAGUGCAUGAGACUCUCAGUCUCAGGGUUGUAGGUUCAAGUCCCACGUUGGGCA
This 73-nucleotide transfer RNA is filed under the name Rattus norvegicus (Norway rat). It matches the Rfam family "tRNA". From Rfam's summary of the family: Transfer RNA (tRNA) molecules are approximately 80 nucleotides in length. Their secondary structure includes four short double-helical elements and three loops (D, anti-codon, and T loops). The record is from Rfam by way of RNAcentral. Lineage: Eukaryota; Metazoa; Chordata; Mammalia; Rodentia; Muridae.